This is a long non-coding RNA of Cucumis melo (muskmelon), 1613 nucleotides long. RefSeq lists it as uncharacterized. The record is from RefSeq and is a predicted model, not a curated record. Lineage: Eukaryota; Viridiplantae; Streptophyta; Magnoliopsida; Cucurbitales; Cucurbitaceae. The transcript has 9 exons.
AAGAAAAGAAAGAAAAGAAAGGACAAAAAGAAGAAAAGGAGAAGAAAAUUUCAUUUUCUCUUUUCUUCUUCUUCUUCUCUUCCCUUCACCGCCAAGUUUGAAGACAUCCAAGUUCCCUUUAUUUUUUUUCUUUUUCCUUCUUCAAUUUGCAGAGAACUUCUAAGAGAGAGUUUGGAAGAAGAAGAGAAAUUUUACUAGAAUUUUUAGGUUGAAGAAGAGGAGGAGAACUCAAGCAAAGUGUAUCAAUGGCUUAAUUUUAGUUCAUUCUGCACAUCACUGGUUUUUAAUUCGGUUUGAACUCUUCAAAAGGAAUUAAGAGGGCAGUUGGUUUUCACUCGAAAUCAGGAGGUCUCUGGUUUUUCUUGUAUUUCAGAGUGUAUCGGUGGAGUUAGAAUUUCUAUUUGGAACAAGUUAAAGAGGUCGUGUGCACGCGAUUCUGGAAGUGGUUCUGUUUUGAGGGUUAUAUGUGUUUAUGCACGGGGAAUCAGAUUUAUAUGUCUUCAGGCCGAGAAGAAUUAAACCGAGCUUAUAGACCAAGGAUCUAGCCCAAGACUGCCGAGAAGAAUUAAACCGAGCUUAUAGACCAAUGAUCUAGCCCAAGACUAUCUUGAGCCUGAGGCUAGAGAUUACCAUGUGCACACUGGUUAGAUUCCGUUGUUGAUGUUGAGUGUACUCCGUAACAACGAUGCUGUCGUGAGUGCUGGGCAGGCCCCACUAUGACAAAGACGAUGGGAGUGCUGGGCGGGCCUUACUACAUCGUAGUUCUUGUAAAGGUAUUGAUCGACUUCCCGGUGCCUGAUAGACGUCCUUAGUCUGCGGAAGCUUCAUUAUCGAUUGCCAGCACGUGUUUUGAGUUGGGCAUAGAGUCUGUUGUGUUGUGAUGUAUAUACACCCUUGUAUGUUAUAGAUACUCAACAGUUUGUAUAAGCUUUAGGAGCUAUAGUUGUGUAAAUUUUGUUGGUUAUAUUUUGAUUAAGGUGUCUUUAGGUUUACUCGUGAAAUCGGUAAAUUUUGAGGUACACUUCAUGUAUGUGUUUGACUAGCUGUGUUUGACUAGCCUAGGAUCCGCUGUGUUUUGUGGCAUGUACAAUAGUUUAUAUACUAGAUUGGCAAGUUCAUCACAUGAAAGUUUUAAGCAGAGUCGACAGAUACAGGUACAGAAAAGCGUUGUUCGUCGGCUUCACGCCAUCUUUCUAUCUAAGGUAGCAGGUAGUCCGGGAGGGGGUGUGACACUCCACUUCAGGUCACGGUGAUAGGGGUUUGACGCUCAAGUUCACGGUCCCACGGCAAGUUCAUUUGGGAAUAACUCCCUUUACUUGGGUGGAUCUGUUGAGCGUGGACUCGAUAGAGGGGCAUAACCAAGUAUCAGGUAAGGGUACAGCGAGGGGCAGACCGACGAGGGGCAAGAAGGAUGCGUGAAGGCCAUAUGGAUGCGUCUGGUUUUCUUUAUGCUUCCGCUGAUGUAUUUUGUUAGAAUAUCUGGUUUUGUGAUUGUGAGUUUGAUGACUUGAGUAUUGUAUUUGAAACUCUCGUGACUGUGAUUUAGAAUACUCAGUAUGUACAUCAUCGAAAUCUUGCAAGGCAUAUCAAGUAUAUCAAAAUAUUUUAACCAA